CUUUUCUAUAUUCUAUACUCAUAGCAAAUACAUGUAUAUUUUCUUUUUCCUUUUUUUCUUUUCUUUUUUCUUUUUUUUUUUGAGACAGGGUUACUUUUGCCCAGGCUCAAGUGCAGUGGUGCAAUCUCGGCUCACUGCAACCUCUGCCUCCUGCGUUCAGGUGAUUCUCAUGCCUCAACCUCCUGAGCAGCUGGGACUACAGAGUAUUGGAAUGAGGCUGUUGAGAGCUGGGCUGAAGGAAUGUUUUGGGAAUGGAUGGUCUGGCCCAUUUGCUGUUGCCUGAGCAAGCUGGUGAGGAUCUCUGCUCUGGGCUCAUUUGGGAGGAGAGCCUCUCCUUUUCUCUGGGGAAGUGUCGUGGGUGCCCUGGGUGAAGCAGGGAGGAACUGGUGAAGGGAGAAACACCCAGCUAGGAGACACUUUGUAGGGAGGAGGUAGGGGCUCCCAAGAUUCAUGCUUGAGUACUGGCCCUGCAGUCUACCAGCUGAAGACUUCAAAAAAAGACUUAACCUCUUUGUCCUCUAUUAGCAAAGGCGCUCAAAGGUGAGGUUCACAGGAGGAGAUUUCUGCACAGAGUUUAGAACAAUAUGAGGGAUUUUCUUUUUAUUUCCUUACCAGCUGAGAUUGGUGAGCCAUUCACAUUGACAGAAUGCUCAUGACAAAUGAACAACCACAGAGGCAAAGCCAGGCUAAAAAUCGUCACAAAACAGAACAGAUGUUCCCACCCUCUGAAGACAGAGUUGUAGUUUCAUAGGCCUCAAGAUGGAAAGAUUCAUCCGGGGAGCAUAAACUAAGGGGACACUGAGCAGUGCCGCUUCUGGGGCUUUGAGAAACUGAGUACUACUUGUUCCCUUCUAUGGCAGAAUGCUAAGGAGAGGAGCCGUCAUUGCAAUGUGAAUAGAGGCAACUGGGAAUUGCAUUAAAGGGACUUCAAGGAUCUCCCAGCUUCAUUCUGCGGACAGCCAAUGUAGAACCCUGCCUCAGUCCCAAUCUAUGUAACAUUCAUCUCUAACCCUUUCUUGGCCUCGUGGUAGCUUUCCUCCAAUACUCCAAUUGGGGCCUUUGCCAUGAUGACAUCAGGAUAUUUUUUAAGUUCCCCUUGGAUUGCAUCGAGGCUUCUCUAUGUUGCUUGAGAGGGGCUGCCCAUCUUGCAAACUUUAAAGCACAGUGAAAACAACCUUCCACAAGCUCCCGGAAACUCCCUGAUGCCUUUCUCUGAGGUAAAGGUCUUUAGAUGGUACCUAGUUUUGUGUUAGAAGCUUUCACACCAAGCAGCCAAAAAGGCUCCAUCCUCACCUGAUUUGUGGUCCCCAGAAAGGAGCCUGCAUUAGGCCGAUAAGUCAUCAUCCAGAGAGGUGAUGACAGUCGUCUCCAUGACCAUUGAUUAAUGAAAACAGGGCUAGUUGGACCCAGAGUAGAUGGUUAUAAAUGGUGCUGUCAGAGAAAAAUAAUUAUUGUAUUAAUAAGGAAACAGUCCAAAACCAGGCUCUAAAAAAAGAGAACUGGCAACUUAGCAUCUCCAUGGAUUUCUGAGGCAGACUUGACGGAAUAGUGGGGAGGUUGGGGGAAGGUAUUCUAGCUCCCCCACCACCCGCCUCUCCAGAAGGCAGCCCCUCCUUGCCUGUGCACGUGCCCACGUCCACGCGUGGAUGCGCGGUGGGUGCGCUCGACCUGACCCAGCUCUCCCGGGAUGCGGCAGAUGAGCCGGGGUUGCGUGGAGGCUUUCGGUACCACUUCCAGCAGGAACGGAGAAAAACGAGCAUAUCUUAUUGUACCUGAAACACUCUAUGAUAUGUACUAAAUAUUAUGACUACUCGGGGCCUUGCAAUAAUUGAUUCACCCACACAGCCAUUUAGUCUGCGAGCUGUUCGUUUUACAAAUUCUACAAUCUUUUAGAAAUUCUUUCAGUGCGGAAGAUUGCUGCCUGGCCUCAGAUUCAUUAUGGUGAUUGAAUCCUCUUCAAUAGAGAACGGUUUAAAGAGAGCACAGGCCCCGUGCGUCUCACUCAGAGUUAAGGCGCAUAGGUUAAAAGCUUGUCUGGUGGCAUAAUUCACUGCCGCUAUGCCAAACAAUCACGUCUUAUUGUGACCUUCAUAAGAUACAAAAAGGCAACAGGAUAGAGCUUGGCUUUUUUUUAAACCCACUCACAGAUUUAGCUUCCCAACAUCUGAAGCUUGGAGAAUUCCUAAUUAAAUAACCAAUUAAUAAUGUAGAAUAGAAAAAGCUAUUUUUUUUCUGAAAUGCAAAAUCAUAAUUAAUCAGAGUACAAAAAGCUGCCUGUCUUUAUAUCAGAAAAAUAUAGACUAGGUAUUUAAAUAUUCCACCACACCUGAACCCUGGCCAUCCGUCAUUGCUAUGACUUAAAACAUCUCAGACUAAAUUAGGUUUUGUUUGUAUAGAGCAGUGAAAGUCAGAUGGCUUGAAUGACAAAAUUAGAACAUGCUCAAAUCACUGAGACAAAACCGCAUAAAGAGAAAGAUGUGCAGGAAAAGGGCUGCCAGUAUGAAGCAGAAAUCUUCCACUGAUUUUUUUUUUUGAAAAAAAAAAAAAAAAAGCGUUCUUUCCUAUUUACCCAACCACUUGGUGUAAGUAUAAAUUUUUGACCCCCAGGCAGACAUUCCAGGAAAAGAAAAAUUAUCCCCACCCCCUUGUCAAUUGCCCAAAAUAGCAUGCACAGCUCUAAACAAGUACCCUCCCCAUCACGUCCCCCACCCCAGUUUCUCCACCCCGGGUUGGCCCUGGCCCUGGUGUCUACACCCUCAGCAGACCCGCCCACCGCUCCAGCCCACGCCCAGCCCCCGCCCACUGAUACUGUCAGUAACACCAGACACCAGCCGCUAAGGUUCUCCCCCCACCCACCCGGGCACUCCGCACCACCUCCAAGCGCAUUUAUAGUUGGAAAGAAAAGCUCAUUUUUAUAGGUGGUGCCACCUCCACAAUUUAUACUUUGCCCAUGAAAUACCAAAACCAGGGAGUCAAUUUUCCAAGGAAGAAAUUUUAUAAAAACACUUUUAUUGAUGGAAGAGAUCUGCAGAGACGGUCGCCAUCUGCAAGGAAGCGAAGGCUCUUGCAGGUGCGGGUUGAUCCAGGGCUGCCCAAGCGUCCCUCACUCAGGACCACGCGCCCAGGCACUAAGCAUGUUAUUUCUGUGUCUUCCGAACAUGCUAAGCAUUUCCUUACCCUCCGGCUUUUGCUCCUGCCGUUUCUUCCUCGUGGAAGUGAAUAUUUGAAACCUACCUGGUCUUCCCAAGGUGGCCCAGUUAUUACUGUGUGACGACUUCUUCCUGGCUUCCCUGGUGAAAAGCUGUUCCGUCCUGCCUGCAGGUCCCUGUGUUACUUUGCUGAUCACAUUCUCCCUCGUGUCUGUGGGUGUGGACUCUACCCAUGACUUCCCUGUCACCUGGGGGCCGGUGCCCUGAGCCCAAGCCAGCCCUGCAUCGGGGCUGGGCACAGGGUGUACUCAGGCGAUGGUGGGGCCACAGUGCAGGUUUAGAGGGGCCCUCUCUCCACCCACGAUGCCACCAGCCUCUGUCCCACCCUACGCCACAAAUCUCCUUCAAUAUAUAAUUUGCUGUUAUCAUAGCAAUAAAUAAUUUUUGGUGACGUUUUUACUGUUGAGACUUUGUGCGGUGUUUUUUUAUUGACAAAACCGCUAUGAAUCAACAUGAACACAAUAAAAACGUGAGAGCUAUCUGCAUUACGGCUGAGGUUUUGUCAAUAGGGCAGUGCAUUGAUCUCCGUUCCUCUUUGGGGUUAUUUGUGGAGCUUCAGCGGGUGGGUUUAGG
This 3782-nucleotide long non-coding RNA is filed under the name Homo sapiens (human). RNAcentral describes it as "HSALNT0397196". Lineage: Eukaryota; Metazoa; Chordata; Mammalia; Primates; Hominidae. The record is from RNAcentral.